CACGGCUGCUACUCUGAAACCACUCAUAAGUAUAGUAGAUGAGGUCAAUGCCAUAGUUAUAUAUUUAUUUAAGAACCAGAUGAGUGGUUACAAAAAAAGAGUCUAUCUGAAUAAACUCUAUUAGAAUCUGCUGAACUGAAACAUCAUAGGUUUAAGUAUGACACAUGCACCCUCACAAUAUGAUUGCAGCCUGGAAAAGUCCUGCAUACUGGGAGACUUUCAUUGGCGUGCAUGGAUAAAGAGAAGCAAUGCUUUCCCAUACGGCCAGCUCCAGUUUCCUGCUGCCUGCACUCCAUCCCUGGAGCGUGGACUUUACUGGCAUUGGAACCAGAUUGCGUUUGUCAUGGUGUGGCAUCACAAUUCAGAUUUCAUCUGCCAAACCUUAGCCCUGAUCCUGACCAUAAGUGGCCUGCUGACCUAAAUGGAGCCUUUUUGUCUCAGUCUAACUCUCUUGAUGUUCAUCCAUCAGUUGUACUUUUGCUGGUUUAAAAAAAUACAAGUCUGAGCAAUGUUCCUGGUUUGAAGACACAUUCCCAAGGUUGGUUUUCUCCAUUCUUCUGUUUACACAGAAGUAUAUCUCUGCUCUAUUGAAGCACACUUUCAAGUAAUAUUUUAUUUUGAACUGAAAUUAAAAAUUUCACAUUUUCCCAAUUUUCCCAAUUUCCCAAAAAAUGUUAAAAUGUCAAAGGAAAAUAUUCAAAAGAAAUUUUUUUAUUCAGAAUUUUUGUGGGGGAAAGCUCUAAGACUAACUCUUUGGUCUGUACAUCAAAGCAAUGGCUAAAAUUCAGGGGGAGUGAGUGUGUCUUUUUCCUAGUUAUGUUAUUACAGAGAACCACACUUUCAGAGAACAAUUAAGAUGUCCUUAAAAACAACAUAGGUUCCUAAUAGUGUCUAUAUUUGGUAGUUUAAGGAUUAAGGUAUAGUGUGAAAUAAUGAAAUAACAAGUUUGGUUUCUUUCAGGAUACAAAUCUGUAUAACUUUCAUGGUUUGCACUAAUGGAGUUGACUUCACAUCCUUCCAUUGGAGAGACAGCCAAGAAUUCCUCCAACCCCACAGAAAUAGCAGAUCCAUGUAGAUCUUGUAGGAUGUGCAAAGGCAAAGGGCCGUCUGCCCAGAGCUUCAAUGCUGCUGCACUAGUAACCAACAGCUCCAUUCUGUCCCGUGUUCAGGGCUCCUUCACCAGCUGUUGCCCCUCAAUCCACCUUAGGAAAUGAUGGAUUGUGGGGUUCUGUAUUGCCAAAUUGAAUGUUACUGCUGAAUGGAUUUUGCAUCUGCUGAACCUGAUUUUUGCUGAAUUUCUGUCCUAACCAGAAAAAGUCAGAAAUCUUACAAGAGAGUCUGCUCCCACAGACAGAUUUCUAAAUCUGUAUCAGGAGUGCUGUCUUUUCUGCUUGUUGAUGUAGUGCCUAAGUGUAAUGGGCACUGCUCUUUGACUGGUGUUUUUUGAAUGCUACAGUAGUACAAAUAAUAGUAGUGGAAUAAGGACAAGUAAAAAAAAAGUGUGUUACGAGAUGACAGAGAAUAUAGGAGUAAACUAAGAAGGAAAGGAGAAAUUAGGAAAAUCAGAAGAGAAGAAUUCAGUCCAUAGGCAUCUCUAAGCUUGACCGACCCAUGAAGAGAUCUCCACUCCAUUUGUGGGUAUCGCGCCCUAUACCUGCUGUGAACCACUGCUGGGACUACACAUUCAAGAAGAUGAUGCAGUUAGAACUGUGUUUCAUCAGAAGCUGAGUGUUUUGAGAUUUUUUCUGUCUUUUUAUACCAUGUGAAACAAACAACAAUAAUGACCAAGAAAGAAGAGGACAGAAAUGUUGAUGUCUGGAAGGCAGUACAACUGAAUUACUUUCCCAGAGUCUGGUGAAGAUUGGUUCAUGAGAAACAGUGAAGUAACUGAGGCUCAACCCAGGAAAGACAGGACUGAUACUGGUCGGCUGGGGGAAGCAACUCUGGAUGUGAGGAAAGGACAAUAUUGUUUUAAGUGUAGUCUUUUGCUACUUCUUCCUUCCUGAACCUAAGUUGGUGAUUGGACCUUUUCAUGCCCUAGCUGGUCAGUUUAUGAGAAAAGUCUAACUACCUCUGAAGACAUUGACUUUGUGAAGGCUUAUUGCAAGGAAUGAUGUCUGGAAGAAGAUAGCUGGAUAGUGCAAACAGUGUGUAUUUGACAUUCGUUUAUUGGAGCAAUAUUUUUUUGCUCUGCUAUGUAGAGAAGUGAGGGACAGAGAGAUGGUGCGUGGCAGAAUCUUGACCAGAUGGUUUCAGAGCAUGGAUGAGCCUCAAGAGACUUUCUUCCUGUAAGACUGCCAAGCUCAGCAUGAUAUUCUGAGAUGCUGAGCAAUUUUGAUUUACAUUUUGUAAGGAUGUCUCCUCCAACUACUGGGAGAUAUACUGAUGGAUUAGUGAGCGAUGGAAAGCUUUGCAGGAGGGAAGGACCUAAUAAACAGAAAGUGAGCUAGGAGAGUAUAAUACUAAUUAUGGUUGACAGGUAAGCAAUGAAAAGUCAUGUGGAAAAACAACCCUUCCCUGUAGGAUAUCUUGAAGACCAUCAGUCUUUGGAGAUUCUCUUUGAUUCCCAUCCAUCAUCUGAGCAACGAUGAUGGGCACGGAUUUUUUUUACGCAAAAUUUUGGACAAGGUGGAGGUGGAAGAUGUGAGGGUGCCAUCUCAUCAUGCUCCCUCCUCCACCUCUUCUGCUUUUGGGCCUGCUCCAGAAGGAGAAAUGGUGGUUCUGUAACCUUUACAGAUAAUAGCAUUAAUUAGCACCUUUCAAAGCAAAUAAAAGAUAGUGAGCUACUUCUCCUGCUAAAAUGAGUUGAAAAUGAAAAACUGUAUCUGACUGUGUUUCAGAACAUACGUGCUUUUUUACAAGUUUUAUAAAAAAACACAAGAAGGUGAUAUUUACACGGAAAACUGAGAAAUUAAUUUUUGCACUGAUCUUUCACUUGUUUUAAAAAUUUUGUAGUUAAACUGAUAAAUUCCAAAAUAGAAAGUGAAAACCAAGGGCCUUCCACAUCAGGUAUCACUAAUCAAGUAAUGUAUUUUGUUGUUAUUAAUAUUGAUCUGUUGUAUUACAGUAGCACUUAGAAGCCCUCUCUGAAGUCCAGGUGUAGGUGUAGGAGCAUGUUGCAGGCAGAAGGGAGAGAAAGCAAAUGUGGGAGGUGGCUGACGCUGGAGGAGAAUCCUAGUACUUAUGCCAGCUACAGGGAUUCUCAUUUGCUGAAGCUGUGGGGAAGUCCAUUAGCAACCUGUAGGGGGUUCCAUAAAUUAGAUUAUCUCUCAGAGCUGUCUGCUUUAGGUGAGAGGCUACUCCAUCUGCAGCAGCCCAUAAUAUAAUAGGUGUAAAGGUGGCAUAAAAACCAAUGUAGCCCCUUCCUGCCAGGGCUCUGAAUUGAUUCCCCUGGCCCAAUGUGCCCAUGUAAACAACCGUUUUAAACAAUAAACUUACUCAAGUCUGACAUCAGCUGAUGAGAGUAGAAUGUAAGAUACAAAAUACUAGAAUUAAAAGCCCCCCUCCCCAAAAAAACAACCCUGAAGAACAGAAGUCCCAGUGAGUAUCGCACAGAUGCCUCUGCAUCUUGGCCUUUUGAAUAUUUCUUUUGUAAUGUUUAUGUGGUACAAUAAAGUUUUGCCAUCAUUGAUGUAGGGCUUUACACCAUCAAUGAAAGUCAACAGCUUGAAUUGCAUCUACCUGGAAAUGAAUAGGAAUUCAGUGCAGUUGUCUAAGAACUGGUGUAAGAUGCUCAUUGUGACUAACCGACAGGUUCAUGUGAGUUUUCUUCAUGAGCAGAUUCUAGCAAUAAUCUAGUCUAGAGGUCACAAAGGUUUGGAUAACUGUAGAAACAUCCAAAUCAGUGAAAAAUAGUAAAAAAUGCUUUACCUGAAGUAGGUGAAAGAUAUUUUUGACCCAAGCUUCCAUCUGAUAUUUGAAGACUACACCAAAAUCUAAAAGUGCCCCCAAAUUUUGCCACUUAAAAAAUGAUGGAUAAAUUCCCCAGUGUGGAAGCAUCCCUGAUUUGCCCUCAAGAUAUCUAUUUUGAAAAAGUAGAUUAAUGUGGGUUUCAGUACUUCUCUAGUAACAAACAUGCCAAGGAUAAUCAGUGGAAAAUAUUCUUAUAGUUUUAAGUGAGAGUAGGAUUUGACAUCUUCUGCCCCAACAAUGACCUUAAAAUAAACUUUCCCAAAAUCUCUUUGGGAGUGGUGGUAGCCUUAUGUGUUAUACUAAUCUGUUUAACUGAAUAACAAUAUAAUCAAUUAUCUAAAUAUUAAAGGCUAACAGAUUAAAAACAUCUUCCUUUUGUGAACUCAACACAUGAGCUUUAUUGGGCAGAAUAUGUAUUCCUAUCCCUUGGUGGCUGCCAGCUGCAUGGUAUUCUUUUCAGCCAAAUCUAAGGGAGAAGCACAGUCAAAACAUGGGGCACAACCUCUGCACCUGUCUAGCCCAGUGGGCUGAGGAAGCUUCUGAAGGCAUGCACAGCUGAAUAGGAGGAAGGAGGAGGCGUUUUAGCAGAAGAACACAUGACCAGCCCAUAUCUCUCAUGGCAUGUGGGGAACCUAUGGCAGUGCCUGUUACUUUCAGGUCAUUUUGCUCAUUUGUGACCACAUUAUGCCUGCAAUUAUUUUUUGUCACCACUCUAGAGAAAAAUCUAGAGUUCUCUUUGUGGCCUUUGCCUUAUUUCCUCAUAAGGGAAUAGGGUUAAUGUUCUUUUCGAUUGUGCCAACCAGUAUUUCCCAAUAAACUAAAUUCAGAAAAUGGAUUGAUUUUAAGAUGUAUUUAUGAAAUACAUAAAAUGAAGUAGGUUAGAUUUUUUAAAUCUACCACUGUCCUUAUGGCAAAAACCAGUAUUGCUAGCUUCUUUGUGAGUUCGGCAAUGGUGGCCAGACUGAGUAGGCUGCUCCCGUGCAGAGCUCUCUGUUGGCUAAAAACCAAAUCCCUGGUAUAAGGAAUCAAUAAAGAAGAAAUAGCAUUUUUUAAAGUUUUAUGUAAUUCUUUAUUUAACGCCACAAAAAACAAACUCGUCUUAAUAUAACUUUUUCCUUAACUCACCCCACACAAAAAAAGCUCAGAGCAGAAGUGACAAGAGAAAUUGUCACUUUGAUAUUGACCAAGGAGAAAUUAUACAAGUAAUUGAUGGUCAUCACUCUAGAAACAUGCUGGGCUCCAAUGGAUUUGAACUGAAUUCAAAAAUCUGUCAAACAAAACUCUUCCAAUUGCUCCUUAAGGUGGGUGAUUCUUCCAGAAAUGACUCACAACACCACUCUUACAACCUUGGAAAAACAAAAAGAUCUGGAAGACUGAUAAUCAUACUGAUCAAUAUCACUUCUGAAUCUAGACUGUGAAAUAAGUACUUAUUUACCAGUUGCUAAACCCAUUAUUCCCUGUAGAAGUCUGUCUGCACAAGGAAUAAGCUAGGGAAAUGGUACUUUUAAAAAUCAAGUUAGCUAACAUGAUUUGAAACCCCCUUAGCAUCUAAUGAUUUGGUUAAUGUUACAAUCAUAUUAGCUAGUCGUAUUGUAACCCAGAAAGAAGCCUAAUUUAAAAAGCACCUGAUUUCCUAGUUGGUUCUUCAUGUAGAUCAGGGGUUCUCAAACUGGGGGUCAUGACCCCACAGGGGGUUGCAAGAUUAUUAUGUGGGAAGUUGUGAGCUGUUAGCCUCCACCCCAAACCCCGCUUUACUUCCAGCAUUUAUAAUAGUGUUAAAUAUAAAACACGUGUUUUAAUUUAUAAAUGGGGUCACACUCAGAGGCUUGCUGUGUGAAAGGGGGUCAACAAUACAAAAGUUUGAGAACCACUGAUAGACCCUUAUGGAGAACUCCCAAACCCUCUCUGCCUUCCCUGAUGUUAAAUGUUGCUGCUUCCCUGUUUUCUGCAUGUAAAUAGCAGACUUUGAGUCCAGGUGGUGGCAGAGCAAUAGUAGAAGGACAGAGGAAUUCCAAAGUAGAAAAGGCAAGUACCAAAGGGGACAAAGGGGGGCAGAUCCAGGAACAGAGGCUGGGCCAUGAAGCAGGAUGGGAUUGGGAGAUCUGGUCCUGGCUGGCAAAGGGUGAGGAAUGGUCCUCUUUGUUCUCUGGGUUGUCACUGUUGUCAUUUAAAGGUGUCUCCACUGAAGUUUCUGCAAUGUCUAAAGCUCACACUAUCCUGAAAGAUGGAGUAGGUAGGGGAGGGAUGCAGGUCUGCAAAAGAAAACUUACAAUGAUUACUACUGUUGUACAAUGCCUGGAUGGCUCAUGUUUGGCAUGGACUAUCUGUAUGUUCUGACAAAGGCUGCCUUUGUAAAGCCCCUCCAUAGAUUUGCUAGAGUUACUCUGCUUCUAUUUAUAGAUGACUAAAUGAGUGCUUGUCUGAAUACUGAGCUCUGUGGAAGGCACAUUCUGAUCUGUCAAUCCCAGCACAUGCUCUCUGAGCCUGGACUUUGAUGCACUGGAGUUGUCAGCAGACAGUGAGCUUUUUCUUGUGCAGAGGGAAAAUCAAGUUUGCCAUUGUAUUUAUCUAAGCUCCUGGCUCGGUGGCUACUACUCUUGCUAUUUUUACUCAGCCAUAGUCUGUCACCACUUUUCUGGGUGAACACCUGCAUUUGAUUAUUUGCACACAAGGCCUCAGUUUACUGCGUGUGUGUUGUCCACCCUCCUAAAACCCUCUAAGCUUAUGCUAAGGGACACUGGAGGUUUUCUUUCCAUGAACUGUUCCUAGAGAUGGUAGAGAUACUGCAGCUGUCCAUUUUUCAGAUCUUUGCAUCUAUGUUUGAAGUUCUUCACCUCUCUAAAUGGAUGGGAUAUUAUGUGGACUUAAUGAGAAUGAUGAGGGCUACCAUGAGAGAUGUCUGCUGACUGACCAAUUGACAGUUUCCUCUCUUCAUUCAUGUUCAUCAAUGAGAUAUGGGCAAGGUGGGCCAGAGCCGUGUCUACAAACAUACUUUGACUUAAUUUACAGCAGGCUGCAGAAGGUCCACCAGGGCUAUGCAACUCCCUCCCCGGUGGUUAAUUUCUGUGCACAAAGAACUCAAAAGCUUCCCAGGGAACUUGGCAGCUUGUGUGCAUGUACUCUAUGAGCCCAAUUUUCAAUGCAACUGCUUACACACUAAGGCACUGAUCCAACUCCCAGUGAAGCAAAUGAAAAGGUUCCCAUUCAUUUCUCUGGCUCUUGGAUCAGGCCCUGGGCUCAUUUGACCAUAUGCCUUGUGCAUACACAAUGACUACCUAAUUCACAACUGUAUGUGUCCAAAAGUGGCCUUUGACAACUGAGCCCAAUACUUCUAAAUAGCAAAAGAGCAAUCUGUAAGAUUAGAGUACAAAACUUGUAUUUUCCAUUUUAUUUAAUUAAAGGAAAUAUAAAUCUUCAGGAAACAUCUGGCUUUCCAGAAUUUGUAGGAAGCUCUUGGUUAACUCCCUCUGCAUGUCUUUAGAAGAAUCUGUUAGCUUGAAAUAAAUGUUGUAUGUUAGUAAAGCAAUAAACAUUAUUAGGAAAAUUAUAUUUAAAGAUAAUAUUUACAUUUUGUCAAGUGAAAAAUAUACCUGUUGUUUACUCAUACCUCAUUAGGAAAAGAGGUUACUAAAUAAACAUAAUGAUAUUGAACCAGUAACUGUAAAAGUCUGUUCCUAAAAUUACAGUAAAAUAGCAUAAAAAAUGUCUGCAUGGACUUACAAGUAAAAGCGAUUAAAAAAAAAAUCCUUCAAGUUCUGUUCUAUUCUACUGUGUGUUAUUAGUGCAGGGACUAACUGUGAGGAGGGAAAACUGGAGGAGGGGAUGCUGUAAUUUUGAGUUACUUAGCCGUGUUGGCAAAACUGAGAUUCUAAGCUCUAUAGGAGCAGUCUGAGAAAAUAUUAGGUCUUUAGGUCAGAGAGUUCUCCAACAGCUGAACCAAAGAGAAUUGGAGUAUUCUGUAGAUUCCCAUAACUGAUUUGGGUCAGACUGCAGGCAGAGCUCAGUUUUCAGAUGUUUGCUGCCAUCUAACGUCUAAAUGUUUUACUGUUUGUUUCCACCUUUAUAAAUGUGAGUUUCAUCAGACUGCUGAACUAGAUCAUUAGCGAAAGAUGAUUAGGGACAGAUCAGAACACAGUCCCGCAGUUGAUGCUGCAUGGGUGGACAAUAAACUGAAUGGAUCUCCAUGCAAACUCAGGGGUUUGCUUGUUUCCAGAUCAGGGGUAGGCUGCUUUGUUCUUCGUAGAUUGAAAUCUCAGGAAAUCUGCAGAUCCUGGCUGGUGUUUUUGAUUUAUUGCAAAGCAAUAAGAAUGAGAAGCACUUUUUUGGUAUAAACAGGAUAUUUGCUGAAUACAAAAUUCAAAUGUAAUUACUGGAAAAAGGCUUAAAUGAUAACUGAGUGUAAAUAAGAUUUGGAAACAUCUAAAUAGCCCUGUUGCCUAAAAUAAAAUAUGAAAUAUGAAAAGAUUAAAAUUCACAAAAAUAUUUAUAAUUAUGGCCAACUUUAGUGCUAAAAAUACAAUUGAUGCUCACUCCACAAGUAAGAACAUAUCUGAAAAUCACACAGCAGCAAUUUUUAACUACUUCUCUAAACAGCUUAAAAAUAAAUAUAAAUAAAUACAGAACAAUACCAUCGAUUGACUCAGUGUAUAUUUGUCAGCUUUCAUUUCCCUAAUUUCAGGUACUUUAUAUUUUUAAAGGAAUAUACAGUAUUUCAAAAUUUCUGUACAUCUCCUUUGUAAAUCCCAUGAAUAUUAGUAUUCCUGAUAUCCGAUUGUCCUGAGCUUGAGCUGUGAAAAACAAUCUAGUUAUAAGAUCUACACUAGCAUUUUCAAAAAUGCCUAAGUCCCACUUUCAAAAUGACAUAGGCACUUAGGAGCUCAAAUUUUAUUGAAAGUCAAAAAUGGGUUCUGUUUCAUGUUCUGUAAGCGAGUGCACUCUCAUGGUUAUAGACCUAACAGCCCCUGCUCUUCGCCAGCCUCUUUGUGUUCCCUACUGCUCCUAUCUCCUGGCCCAUUCACCCACCCCCAUGCUUCCCAGGUCCUACCUGUCCCUCUGCUCAUCUUCAGUUCCUGCCCCUCUCCCCCUCUUGUUCCUAUCUCCCAUUUUCUGCUCCCUUCCAUACCAGUCCUCCGUUUCCUGGCUCUGUUCCUGCUCCUAACUUCUCCCCAACCCUGGCUUCUAGUCUCCCCUGCCCAUCUCCCUGCUCUGCUUCUUUUCCCCUUUCCUCCUUUCUGCAUUCAUCACCCCUCCAGAUUCCAGUUGCACUAUUUGCUCCUUAUCCUCCUUGCUGCCUGGGCUCCAUCAGGGGCUGAGAGCACAGGAGACAGUUUCCCCUCUCUCAGUUCUGGGACCACAGUAAAUCCUGGCAACUAGGAGUAGGAAUUGCAGGGAAAGUGCUGCUCAGUUCUGCAUCCCCAGGAUGGAGUACUCAGUCACUCUGUGGGAACAUACAUACACUCUGUGAGGGGAUGGAGCAUAUUCAGUGCAGAAGGAAUCUUUGGAGAAUUUAGCUGCCAUCUAUUGAGCAUGUGUGAACUGAAAUUUUCUAGACUUAUAACUUAGCCAAAUUUGGACAGCUUCUCAUGGAAAGAGCAAAAAACAUCCUUGACACCAGGGAAAAUUCCCUGCCAAAUUUCAAGUCCCUGCUCCAAAGCAUACAAGUGUUAGCAUUGCUCAAUUGCAUGGUUGUAGCAAUUAUUUUAACAUGGGCAAAGCACUGUAUUUAUGGCUAAACAGCUUUGCUGGAGCUUCUAAAAAAAUCAGUGAUGCAAUAUUUCCAUCAGCCCCAGAAAUGAUUUCUAUGGUGUGAAUAACACUAGAAAACAAGGCCGUACAGUCAAACUCCCACAUUCUCUAAUUUUGAAAUGGAAACUAUAUUCCCUUAACCUUUCCACGAUCUUCAGAAUUCUUCUAAUAGAGCAGUCCCUUGCAAAUCACUUCUGUUGAUUUUGAGUCAUUUCCGACUAGGCCCUGAGGACUGUCAUUUAUAAAUAUACUGGGACAGCACAUAUGUCACAUCACAUCAGUGGGUUUAGAUCGUAAACAAUUUGGGACAAGAACCUUCCUGUGAAGUGACUCACACUUUUGGGCACUCAAAAAUGAUUGCUAAUCUCAAUGUAAAAGAAGUAUCAUGGGGAAGGUUUUCUUAAGGGUCUCUAUGAUGGGUUUGUCUAUACUGCAAAGAAAAAAAACCCUGUGGCAGUUUCAGAGCCCAGAUGUGGGUUUGGCUAUGGCUCUAAAAAUAGCAGUGUAAAUGUUCUUGCUUGGGCUGGAGCUCAGGUUCUGAGACUCACCCUCCUUCCCAGGUUUCAGAGCUUGAGCAGAAACAUCUGCACUAUUAUUUUUAGUGCUGUUAUGUGAGUCCUGUUAGCCUGAGUCUGUGGACUCAGGCUCUGAGACUCUCUGCCACCAGUGGUUUUUUUGUUUUGUUUUGUUUGCAGUGCAGACAUACCCUAAAGUCAGAUUUUUCCCAGAAAAAGGACAGCCCCCACCCUUGUACCUGUGCAAACAGCUAGGCACAAUUGUAAUUCCUCUGCUCCUAAGAAAGCAGGACAGAUCCCUCAAAGGGCACUCUGGGGUCCUAAGAUGAAGUGGCUGUCUGGCCCCCACCCUGCCUCUGCACCAGCUAGCAGAAGAUACUGCACCCCUGAAGAUUCAUAGCCCUAGCAUGUUCCAACUUCCUACUAGGGCAGCUCUGCACUGGCUGUUAAGUUUUCAAGGAGUCCAUAAUACAAAAUAACUUUGCAUGAUGGUGAAAUUUGUAUAAUAAUGUUGUAACUCAUGUCCUAGAUGGAGGAAAAAUAAUGGGAAUCAUGAAAAAUGAUGGUUAUGAAGCUAGAGCAGAGCGGCUGAGUGGCUAAGAUUGCAACCUGCUGCUCAGACUGAGAGCAUGGAGGAGCAUCCAUUGUCAGCUCCGUGGGGUCAGGGCAUGCAUGAGUACAGCUGAACUGUUUGCUGUUAGAGCAGAGGUAUGAAGCUUUGUCCAGGGUGUUGCUUCCGGAGCCUGUAAUCUUCUGCACAUGAGCUGUUUCCGUCGUCACCCACAUUAGGGGCCACCGCAGAAGAAGGGUGGCAAGUACAGAUGAUGGAAGCCAGAACAUCUCCUUUGGCGCACUAGAGGGCACUGGAGUAUUGAAGAAGGAAGGUGCUUUGUAACGGACAUUCCAAAAAAUAAUGAAUGUUUCCUGGUAUGAAAAGGGGAUUGGGCGGGGGGGAGCAGAAGAUGGCAGAACAAUGACAAUUUAUUAUUGUGCUUCUGAAUCCUCCUUUAUCUUGAGCAUUAAAGUUUAUAUAGCCCUGAGAGCAUCUGAAUAAACAUAUGUUUAGGCAUGCUCUUUAGUCCCCAAACUGAAUCAUCUGAUUUUCCUUGUCAGAUGUUUGCAUUUUCCUUGAAUACUUUUCAUUGUAAGAAUUAAUAGGUUAGGCUUAACAUACUAUUGAACAAAACUCCCACUGAGUUCCACCAACUCCUAAUACUGGAAUCCUGUGGAACUUGGUUUUUCAGCAUCAGCACAUCACUUAGCCUCUGCAUCCACAAUGUGAACCUAAUUUAGGUUAUUCUUUGUUUAGCACAUGGAAUUUUUUGUAUAAGCGCAAACAGGUUUCAUUGUCUUUAUGCCUUCCCCACUCUGUAUUCCCAACCAUAUCUUUCUGAGUUUAUAGGGAAAUGAUAUCCAGCUCUCUUCAGUUACAGAAAGAAAAUAACAGCCCUCAUUAGAUGUCGUGACACUUCUCUGUUUCUAAAGGAAUUACUCCUCUGCAGAACAGAUAGCUCUUAAGGAAGCUGGUUUUAAGGAGGAUGCUCAGAGGAUUUUAGAAGAUACAGCUCCACCAUGACUUCAGGGCAGUGAGCAUAUUCAAUGUUUGGAAUUGGAAAGACUGAUUUUAAAAGGAGAGGGCAACAGAUAUGAUUGCAGUUCCCUGCAUUUGCAGAGGCAGAACAAGUAACUGGCUAUGUUAUCACUUUCUCCUGGUCCUGUUUGCCUUUCCCCGCCCCACACUGUUCAUUACAUUUUAGUUUCUUUACACUUCCACUUCCUCCUCGCCGCUGCUUUUCUUCUACUUUUUAAUAUAUUUUUACUCUGUUGACCUAUAGGCCUGGGCGAUGGGUAUCAUAGGCUGGGGGAGGCUGUGCCUCACCAACCAGCCAGGAGUGGCCCCAACCAUGCUCUGCCUCCAGACCCUCUCCUGCCAGUUGCCCAGUCCCUAUGUUGUGGUCCUAGCAAGGGCUCGGGCUGAGACUGGUGCUGGGGCUACACCACCCAUCCUCUCGGCGCUCUGGGGCUGCGGAUGCUGGGGCCGCACCACCCCACCUUCCUGGCGCUUCAGGGCUAGGGUGGGGCUGGGGCUGCACCACCCACCCUCCCUGGGCUGGGUGCACUAGCCUAGGGUGGGAGCCGGUGGCCAUGGUGGGGGGGGGCUGUGGGCUUCAGCGGUGUGUGUGUACAGAAGAGGCGGGCUUCGGGGCUAGCCUCCCCCAGCUGGCAGUUCAUGUGCCUCCCAUGCCUAUAGGCCCUGCUCCAUUUUUGUGCUUUAUCUCUCUCCAUUUCCCACUCUUGCCUAACUGCAAGUUCUACCUUAUUUCUCGUUCCUCUCUUGUCCUGUCUGUGUUCUCUGUCUCUACCUGCUUGUAUUUCCAGGCCUUUUGUCUGUCUUUCCAGUCACUUCCUAAGGUCUCCUGUGCUUCACUUCCCACCAAAGACGACCUCCCACCCCAAUCCCUUGCCAGGUCUUGUAUUUCCCCCCCAUUAACCCUCUCUAGGCUUCAGCAUUCAUCCUCUUCCACCUCUCCACUCUCCCUUCCCUUGGCCUGAAGCUUUUCACAGGCCUCCAAGUCCCCUUCCCACUGGGCAAGGAGCUACCAUUGCUAUAGCCCUCCUAUCAUAGCUUUCAUCUUAGCUUCUCUCAGCUGUAGCCGGAAGCAGGUAUGACUUCCAGUUAGUAGCUGGAUGGUGGCUGACAGCAUGAAAGGUAGCUGCUGGGAGGAGAGAUGGCCAAUGGUAAUAAUGCUUUGCAAAACUGAGGGAGGAAAGAGGUGAAUGGCUUGUUGGGUGGCUAGAUAUCCUAUAGUUUCACUGAAACUGGAUCAAAACCUUGGUAUCCACAAAACCAAGAAGGACACCACAGUGACUCCAAAUUGGAACAAUCCCAGUAAACAGGGAUGUCCCAGCAUUCUGUUGCUCAGGUGGCAAUCCAGUGUGGCAAUCAAUGAUUUUACUGAACAGAAAGCUUUGCUAGCUUUGGACAGCAAAGAGUGACAAACAAAUACAAUUAUUUAUGACACAAACAUUUUUAGUUCCCAGAACCUGGAAUUAGAACCUAGAGAAUUAAAGCAUUCGUCUUUCAUUUCUAUAAUCUAUGGUUCCAAUUCCCAACCAUACCAGUCUGUGCACCAGCUUAAGGAAGCUGAAUCAGACUUGCUUUAAACAGUGCGGACAAGCCCAAACAAUGGUAUAGUUGGGAUUAUAAAUCAUUCUCUGUCCUAGGUCUGUCCAAAUUCUCAGAAUUGAGUGUACAAGUUUAAACAUAAUUCCUUGACUCCGGUCAUGGAUCAGUGUUUCUAGCAGUGAAAACUGACAGUAGAAUUUGGGCUUUCUUAAAAUUGGGUGGAAAAAGUUAUAUUAAUAUACAACUAAAGAUAGAGCUAUUUCAAAAUGUCUACAGUCAGCUUCUCCAUUCAUUUAAAUCUUACUGGAUAUUGAGUGGGUUUUCCCAGGUUCACCCAUCUGACUAAUCUCUUAUUUUUGUUGCUGCAUUAAACUGAAAAAAAGACAUACCACUUCCCUAAAUAAAAACUGCUCAGCUUGCAAAGACUAAACAAAGGCUGAUUUCUUGCCGCGUACUGACUAAUCAGUGAGAGGGGAGAAAGAUGCCAGAGCUAUUUUUGUGUUUGGAAUCACAGACUCUAGCUUGUGAUAACAUUAUGCUGGAAUAACUCAUUUAUCACCCAGUCAAACUUGUUCAGUCUAAAAAAGGUUAAUUAAAAAUGCAGGACAAAGAGUUCCCUUUGUGAGGUAGUGAUUCAGCAGCUGGAAAGUUUAGUAAAGUUUCUGUUCCCACACAAAAUAAAACCACAUUCAAAGGAUGGCAAGCCAAUAGGCUGCAUAUAGUAUGGUACAGAUGGAGAACUUUGCUUAGAUAUCAUUCUGGUAUGAAAGAAGUGAUCUGUAAAGAAAGCACCGAUGGCUCAGUUCGGAUUGCUGCACAGAGGAAUGAAUAGAUAUAAGACACCCUGGGAUGAGGUGUACAAACCCCCACACCGAAGAGGAAGGGGCUAAGGAGCCUCUGGGUCUAGGUAGCUCCACCCCAGCACACCUGAAAUGCAUGCACAAGCUGGAGGAGGAGCUUAAAAGGUGACCAGAGUAGCUCACUUGCAAGUAGCUAGUGGACGUAAAUGGAUCUAUACUCUGAAGCUCUGCAAAAAGAGUACUAUGAGAGGUCUAAUUGCUGGGGCUUCUGCCUCUUGUUGGUCUACCCAACUUGCUAGGGCAAAGGAUGCUAGGCAUUUGAAAGGUUGGAGACUUAUUAUUUGAUUUAUUUUGUUAUGUCUUUGCUGUUUCCUGUUGUGUGGAGAGGCUGGUAGGAAGUGACCCAGGGUGCAGGACUCAGCUAUGUACCAUUGGGAUGUGGCUUAGAAUCUGCUGGAGAGGGUGAGCUAGGUAUCCUCUACCCAUCCCUGACAGGGAUGGUGGUGAAAAGCCUAUACCUGCUACUAGGCAGCCAGGAGUAGCAAGACCCUGAUCAGGGAGUCCUGACUCUGGGAAUUUGGCUUGGUGAAGUUUAACUAGCCUUUGUGCAAUGCUUUGGAUAUGUCUAUGCAAUAUUUGGUCUUGAGUCUCCCAGCCUGGACCAACAGACUCAGGCUAGCAGGGAUCAUACCAGUGCUCUAAAAAUAGCUUUGUAUGCAGCACUUUGAAGUCAUGGCUUGAGCUGGAGCUCAGGUUCUGAAGCCCAAGGAGGACUAGUGUAAGCCCUGCUAGCUUGAAUCUGUCCACUCAGGCUGGGAGGCUUGCUCCCAAAUUCCAGAAAGGAUGGAAACAACUUGUGACCCAUCUGGAGGGCUGAGUCACAGAAGGGGGCAAACCACUGUAGGGCAGGGACAAUCUGUCAACAGGUGGUGCCAAGAUAGAAGAGUGCCUUCUGCUCCCUUGCCUGACGACUAGAUGGCAGAGGUGGGGAGUGGACCCUUUCACACACACCCUUGCAUCCCUGCAUAGGCUACCUAAUAAUAAUGUGGGUGACAGUCUGGGGGAGAUAUAGUCUCCUCAGAGCUGCCACACCUGAUUCAUGCCUGUGGGUGGGAUGGGGCAGGAAAUGGGUGGAGCCUUGUUUUUAUCCUACCCCGAAAUGCACUGGCCAAAUAGUCGGGUCAAUGCUCUAGGGCAUUUAUGCUACACUAGGUAUAGAGGUGGCUCAGCGCACUUCUCCUUGGAGCAAGGGGAACCCAGGAGUAAAAAUCUGCAUCCUGGGCUGCUCUUCACAUUUUUGCUCUGGGCUCAUGGGAAAGCCCCACUUCACCCCCAAGGAGCUAAAAAAAAAUCUGUGAACAUGUUUCAAAUUGAGAGUGAUGCUAACAUAUGUGAAAUAUAUGUACCUGUACCUGGGAGACAGUGUUUAAAGCUUCACAAAAUAGAACAAGCUGAUCUGAUUGUGCCCAGUGUAAUUCAACAGGGAAAAUAUGUUCACUUGAUGUUGCUAGGUUACCAGCUUUAUUUACAGAUAGUUAGAAGUUUCCAGAGCAGAGACAUUUGAGAAGCUUUGUGAGCGGAAGUAAGAAGGGAGGGGGGAACACCCUAAGGUAGAUUUUUAUUUUUUUAUUUUAUUUUUUUAAACUACAUUACACACUGAGGCCUAGUGUGAAAGAAUUGGGAAGACAGUGAGAAGUAGUGCAACACAGAAGUAGAAGUGUCACACUCUAAGCAGUUCAGACUUCAGAAGACAUUGUUCGAUAAUGAGAGAGAAAGGGUGUGGGAGUGAGGCAAACAGUGUAAAUACUGUAUGUUGCUUUAAUUGAUUAGUAAAAGAUUAAAACGUGUAACCUGCUUUAGAAAGAUUCAGCAGCCAGAAAAGGAGAAUUGUAGAGAUGAAGCACAAGAACACUACACAAAUAUGCCUGCUAAAGGCAGUGUGUAAACUGGUGUAGCUCCAUUAUAAUCAAUGCAGUUAAGCCAAUUUACCUCAAUUGAAGAUUGGGCCCUUUGUCUUUUGCCAUGUGCAAGAGGGAAGUGAAAUCUGCAGAGAAUGAGGGAUGGAGACUAAGGUCAGGCUUUUUCCCAGAGUGAUGAUGUAGGAUCAGAAAAUAUGAGCAGAAGCCUCUUUUUGGAAGGGACCUAGAGAACUGACAAAGCUAACCCAGAUAGGAUUGAAGACGUGAAUUAACACAGCCAUUUGCUCCUAUCCUAGAGAAAGUAACAGGCAGACUAGAAGGAUCCACAUUUGGCAUGUGUGUGCUGUAAGAGACUGGGAUGAACUUCUCGAUGAGGCUUGUUGGCUGACAUUUUUUUUGCCUGGUCUCAACCUUAAAGUUGAAUGUAGUGUUUAUGUGGAAGAUGUGAACAAAAUCCACCUGGCCAUAUUGAUAUUAUGCCAACUUCAUACAUAUUUGCUUUCUGCUUAAAAAAUGGCUUCCAGAUUUAUUUUUCUCUUGAUUCAUCUUAAACAACUCUUUUUUCAGAUAAAGAAGUUACAUCUGUAUCUGCUCAUAUUUGGGCAUGAUUGUUCUGGGGGCACAGUGGACAGACUCCUCUCCCCACACAAUGCCACACAACUUUGUGAGGUGCCACUUAUAACCCCUAGUCAAGCCAGCUGACUCUGCAGGCCAGGCAAUAGGCCACUCUGUAAAAAUUGUGUCCUGGGCUAGUGAAACAGCUUGGCUGAAACAGAAUUUGUCUCAAUUUAUGGAAUGUGACUACACCAAACACGGAUCAGAAAAUAUAGUCCUACCAGGACAACACUGACGAUUAAAGCUCCUAGAAUCAGAUUUUCAGAGCCACAUACAAGACUUGGACACCUCAUUCUUCUUUAAUCCUUUAGGCAGUUUUGAAAAUGGCAGCCUUAAUACCUAAAUAUGUGAGAAAUAGGGUUUUCUUUGCUUUUGUCUAUUGUUUCCCAAAUGCAUAUUGUCAUAACUAUAAAGGGAAGGGGGUAACAACUGUCCUGUGUACAGUACUAUAAAAUCCCUCCUGGCCAGAGACUCCAAAAUCCUUUUCCCUGUAAAGGAUUAAGA
Chrysemys picta bellii (western painted turtle) is the source of this 17137-nucleotide non-coding RNA. NCBI's taxonomy places the organism in Eukaryota, Metazoa, Chordata, Testudines, Emydidae. The record is from RefSeq and is a predicted model, not a curated record.